GCUGAUUAAACAGCAGCAGCGAAGAAACUGUAAUCCUCAGCCUGGGGAACCUGGGAAGGCAGGGAAUGAAGACCAGAUGACAAAGAGGCGCCCCUGCCCUGGCCCUUCCUCCUGGGAAAUCUUUCCCACACCUGCCCCCCACUCAGGAAGGAGCGGAAAGACAGGAGCAAGAGAUCAGAGAGGGCUCUCUUGGAAGACGGAAAAGGCAGGCUUGGGGUUUUCUCCACCCAACCGAAACGAGAUCAUGAAGUCAGUGCUGACUUUCUUGGAGCCUCUCUGAGCCUCGUUUGUAGAAACCAGACAGACGUGUGCCCGGAUGAAGGAGGAACUGAUGCACGGCGUGGGAGAAGUGGCCACCCGUCUCGGCAGCGACCUUUCUCUUUCCACUGGGGAGAAAAGGCCACCACGUGGGAGACGAGAAGGCAGAGGGUCUGGCCACCAAGGGCUGCAGGAGUGUCCUCACAGAAGACAGGAAUGGAAGGACAAACAUCAGAUGCAGGGAUGGAGCGAAGCUGCGGAAGCAGCUCCAGGAACCUCCGGAAGUUGAAAGAGGCAAAGACUACUUCUCCUCCAGAGAUUUUUGCAGUAAUUUCUUAGAGCAGCCUCAGGAAACCAAUACGCCUUGCAAAAGCCAUGAUGCCAUUUUGCAGAUGGGGCAGCUGAGGCACAAGGAAGAAAAGCCCUCUGUCUAAAAAAAAAUUAAGACGUGUUAUGUACAUGCCACCAACUCCCCAUGAUAAAAACAAGUGUUACGUGCUGCAAACAUGCACAUACUGAUACAAAAUAAAAGCGGGCAGUUGGGAGUGAAGGCAGGAUUCCAACUCGGGUCUGUCUGAACCUCGUAUGGCCAAGGCCACCCUUCGAGAAGGGGCAUUUCUGUAGGAGAGAAGUUCCAGCAAAGAGCCAGGGAGGCUGAGGUGAGAUCUGCUGCCAGCAUGCUCUCCUAGGCUGUGUGUCCAUGGGGGUCCCACCAGCACCCCACCCAGCCCCAGCUCCAUCCACCCCCAAGCCUCCUCUCUCCAGAGCUGAGAAGUGCCAUGGGAACUCAAGGGACAAGGGACAAAGCAGCUCUGCUCACAGCUGGACCAGAACCAUCUUCCUCUACGGAAGCUGCCUGACCUCAGGGUGGGCAAAGAGGUACUGACCCUGCCCUGCGGCCCAUGGCUGAGUGUUUACCUAGAAGUGGGGGCAGGCAGGCACCCAGGCAAUAGCAUUUAAGGAGGUUCUGGCUCUCAAGGUCCUGCAAAUGCCAACUUUGGGCUUGUGUGGAUAUGCAAAUGAGUGCUUCCUUAAAAGCUUCCUGCCCUAUUCCUGCCCUUACCUAGGGUUGAUUUAUAGAGGACCAAAAGACCUGGGGGUGGGGCAUUGGCAGCUGUUGGUCUUCAGAGUCUCACAGACAGGGGUUCAAAUCCUGAUUUUAGCCACUUAGUACCUGAGUGACCGUGGAUGGGUCUGUUCCUAUGCAUGGACUCAAUUUUCUCAUCUAUACAGCAGGGAUUAUAGAAUAAAAUCCACUUUCUCAGUAGUUAUGGAUGAGAAGAGUCGCAUGUAAAGUGCCUGGCACUCAGUAACUUAGCACUUAUUACCUUUUUUUUUUUUUUAAGCUCAGAAAGAGGAAAUCAGGGGGUGGCAGAGAAUAAUGGCCGCAUGGGAAUCAAUGGGUGGUUCCCUGGAGCUCAGCAGGAUUGGUAAUUUCUCCUUGAAGCAAAGCCAGGAUGAGGCUGGGA
RNAcentral lists this long non-coding RNA (1727 nucleotides) under Heterocephalus glaber (naked mole-rat). Its description in RNAcentral is "lncRNA (ENSHGLG00000049429.1)". Lineage: Eukaryota; Metazoa; Chordata; Mammalia; Rodentia; Bathyergidae. The record is from RNAcentral.